GAGCUUAUGCAGGAGAGGUUAGUUUGAGAAACAAUUUGUUUGAAUAGUCGUUAUACAUGUAACCAAUGCCGUUAUUAAUGUCAUCUUUUUUUAGGAUCCAACCCCGUUACACGACUUCGUCGACCAGUUAUUGGCUUCUGGAGGUAGUGGACACAACUCCAACGACCCCAAUGUGUGAUUAAGUUAGCUUUGUGUCGCACUGUGUUGUAAUAAACUAUUUUGUGGACUUUAUGUUUGUAUGGACUAUUUGUGGACUUUAUAUUUGUAUGGACUCAAGUUUUAUGUUGUGAACUCAAGUAUGAAUUUUCUG
RNAcentral lists this long non-coding RNA (310 nucleotides) under Zea mays. Its description in RNAcentral is "long non-coding RNA (ZMAY_LNC001169)". Lineage: Eukaryota; Viridiplantae; Streptophyta; Magnoliopsida; Poales; Poaceae. The record is from RNAcentral.